GCUGCAAUAUAACAUAUAUACUUUCUGAAUACUUUCCGUACCCACUGUAGUCUUAGUAUGUCAUGGAAUGUUGUCACAGACUCUUUAAUGUUUCAUUUUUCAGAUGAUGAUAAGCCUUUCACUCGGAGUGGAGUCUUAUCUACCAUGAAUGGCUUGUAUGACCCCUUUGGAUUGCACCUGUUACUAUACAAGGGAGGUUACCAUUGAGGGAACUUACCAAACAGGCGAAGAAAAUUUAAGGACAUCCAGGCCUUAACAUCUGCUUGACAACCCACCAAAGUAUCCCAACCCAAAUGAUCAGAUCCCAGGGGCAGAUAAAUUUGGGUAUCAUCAGCGUAACAGUGGAAGGAGAUACCGUGUUUCUUAAAAAUUGACCCCAGGGGAAGCAUAUACAAGGAAAAUAAAAUCGGUGCGAGAAUGGAACCUUGGGGGACACCACACAUAAGAGGAGCAGCAUACGAAGUAAAUUCUCCAAUACCGACAGAGAACCUUCUGUUAUUAAAAUAGGAUUGAAACCAUUUAAGGGCAUUUCCCUGAACGCCCACCCAGUGCUCCAAACGAGAGAGCAGAACAGAAUGGUCAAUAGUAUCGAAUGCCGCACUCAAGUCUAACAGCACUAACACAGCAGAUUUGCCAGAGUCGAGAGUCAGUAAAAUGUCGUUUAGAACUUUAACCAGUGCUGUUUCUGUGGAAUGUUUUUCUUAAAACUUGAUUGGAACACUUCAAAAAUAUUGUUAUUAAACAGAAAGCUCUCCAGUUGGUGAAACGCUAUUUUUUCUAAAAUUUUUGACAUAAAAGAAAGAUUUGAAACUGGCCUAAAAUUAGUCAGCAUUGUCAGGUCUAAAUUAGGCUUUUUGAGAAGUGGAUAGACAAUGGCUUCAUAUCAUCUGGAACCAUAGCUGUUUCGAGACAGCAGUUCAUAAUCUUUAAAACAGUAGGCCCAAUCACCUCAAAGACUUGUUUAAAAAAUCGUGGGGGAAGAACAUCAUGGGGGAUCCAGAAAGUUUAAGCUGGCUUACAAUAUCUUGUAAAGCCAGCAGAGUUACAGGCUCAAACAGACUCGGGAUGCUGGUACAGGAUGGGGGAACAGAAGGAUCAUGUCAAGAAAAGGGGAUAUUUAGCCUGAUAUCUCUUAUCUUGUCCACAAAAAAAUUAAGAAAUUUGUCACACAUGGCUAGAGUCUCUGUAGGGAAGAGACCAACUGAGGAGUUAACAGCAGCAUUAAUAGUGGAAAAAAGUGCUCGUGGAUUGUGAUGAUUCUUUUCAAUCAGAUCUGAGAAGUACUUAAACUUUGAUGUUUUAACCGCUUUCUGAUAUUGUAUCAGAUUGUCCCUUAGUAUUUCAUAUGAUACUUGCAGCUUAUCUUUUUUCCAUCUUCUUUCGGCCCUUCUACAGACCUGUUGAAGAGCACGAGUAUCAUUAGCCAGGGCUCAGAUUUUGGUUUAUGUCGGUUGGCUUUUAUGGGAGCCAAGGAGUUUAAAAUAUUUGCAGAGAUAAUGUUGAAAUGAUUAAGACAAUCCACACCACUCCAAUUAUCACAAAGUAAAUCAGAAGAUUGAGACACCUCCUUAAAAGCAGCUGAAAACUCAGAACAGGUAGUUGGCGUGAUCAUACGAGACCAUCGAACAGCCUUAGUAGGUCUUGUAAUAUUAAAGCUGAUGGGGACUCUAAAUGUAACGGGCUUGUGAUCAGAAAUAACAUGGUCAUCUAUUGCAACAUCACAGACUGAUAGGCCAUGUGAAAGCACUAGAUCAAGAGUGUGACCAUGGACAUGAGUGGGAAAAUUCACAAGCUGUAUCAAAUCAAAAGAGUCAAUAAGGCUCAGAAAUUCUUUGGCUAAUAUAUUAGCUGGGCAACACACAUGUAUAUUAAAAUCCCCCAGAAUUAAAAGUCUAUCAAAAUUGGGGAUAAUGCUCCCUAAAAAGUCUGAAAACUCAUUAUUAAAGUCUUUGCGAGGUUUAGGUGGACGAUAGAUGACUGAAAUCGCCAUUGGAUUAUCCAAUUCCAAAACAAAUAACUGAAGUUCAAAACUAGAAUAGACAUCAGUCGUUAACAUCCAACAACAACAGUUCUGUUUAAAGUGCAUAUUGCAGAUUAAUUUUUUUUUCUCAAGAUGAAUAUAUAACCUUGUACGAAAAUACAAUAUAAAAAGGUACUGCAGGAUUUAAAAAUGCUUUGCAGGACAUAAGGGCACAAAUUUGGUAGAUAAAGCGACGGUCUCUGUAAAAAACGCUUUUUUUUUUUCAACGUUGCGUCAUUUUACGUCACGAGAGGAAGUCAGUCACCGAGCUCUUUGUUGACUCAGUGCAGGUUGGUAUUCAGUAACAGCGGUCGUGAAUCAGUGUGUUUUCGGUAGUUUUUGUAUUUUAAUUUAUCAUUGUCAUGGCGAAUUAUUGUGUUUGUGGAGGUUGCACAAACUCCAGCCUGUCAGGACAUCGAGUCCAGAGGUUUACUAACAAGAAAAAGGAUGGUGCUAUCUUCCGUGCCGGGGUGUGUUUUGUGCAGGUGAAGAGACGGGACUUUCACUUCUACAUCUGCUUCGAAAAACGCGUUCACUUUAGACCGGAGGAUUAUCAUCCCGGCUAUAUGAUGGAGUUCAACAUUGUAAUACUACUGUAAAUGAUGAUAUUAAAUGAAUAAACUUACACACGUGAUGCUUCUUCACCAUUUUUACGUGAAUCAUUUUCAACACUGGUGAAUGCAAAUUAUGUACACAAAUGCAUACAGUCUCACACUCACACAAAACAGUUUUGAAUUAUGUGCUGGUAAUGUAAAUACUCAAUUUCAUUCAUGCCAUGUAUGUACACUCAAGUUCACUCAACUACAUACUCACGACAUCAUACAUCCUCACACUAUCAGUGAAUCGGCACGGAAUAAACAUAACACAGAAUUAAUGAAUAAAGGAUAACAUGAAACCCAUACAAUAACACUAUGCUGUCUGUGGUUCGCCGGCGGGAGACAUGAUGGUCAUGGAUCCAUCAGAGAUGCAGCUCGACGAAAAUGUGAAUUGUGCACCGUGGAGUCAAUUUGCAACGUAUUCUGAGGGGAGAAGCACAUGGAACGAUUUCUUAAGAUUAAAAUGUUUGAAGACUACACAAUGGAUCUGUUUUGUGGAAUGAGAUAUGCAUUGGAAAUAUCAAUGCAGAGUUCAAUCACAUCACAAUCAGAAACCUCAAUCAAGAAUUCUUCUCAGCGCUUUAUCAACUUGCAGCUUGAUUUCUGGAAAUUUGUGCAACAAAGAAAGUGGCAGUUGAAAAGAGAGUUUCUUGCGCAAAUUAAAUCUAUGCACUGUCAUCACUGCUAAGUGCACAGUUCUUCAUGGCUUUCCUCUUAUUCUUAGAGAAGAAACCUCUGAUUUUUUUUUAAACAGUGCUAGUGUAACGGAUGCCAGCUAGUAGUCGCUGUGCGAGUAAACCUCACUUCUCUGAUCUCAAGAGAUGCUCUAGCAACUGACACUGAAGGUUGCAGCCUAUAGCCUCCUUGUUAGAGCGUCCGACUCCCAUGCCGGAGACCCAGGUUCGAGGCCCAUGCAGAGCGGGGCCAGUAGGAUCUGGGCUAGAGGGGUUACACUGACAGGACUGCGAUUGUGACACACCCUUCUUGAGGAUUCUGACCGUGAUAACAGAAGACAGCCAGGAUUCUUCCUCCACAAGAACUACAUUUGGAGUCUUCAUGCACAGCAUUAUUCUAGACUGAGCCAUUGUCAUGGAUGAACUUGAAAACCUUCCAGGUGCCAUGUGGCUAAUUUUUGGGCUGAUAUGUGUCAAAUUUUGAGUUUUUCUUUCCCUUGGACACAAUUCUCUGAAACCAAAACUACAUUCACUUAAAACCCUUCUGUUGAUGUAAGCAAAGGUUGUUUGAGAUCGUUAAAGGCUUAGUUCACCCAAAAAUGUAAAUUCUGUCAUCAGUUUUUCACUCUCAUGUUGUUUGACUUUGGUUAGUCUUUCAAACACAAAUUUAGAUAUUUUUAAAGAAAACAGGCUGGAAAACUUUUUGGAUCUUUUAAGUUUUGGUUACCUGGACUUUCAGUUGGAGGGACAGAAACCUCUCAGAUUUCAUUAAAAAUAUCUUCAUUUAUGUUUCAAAGUCUAACCAAAGUCUUAUGGGUUUGUGACAUCAUGAGGGUGACUAAAUGAUGAGAGAAUUUCAUUUUUUUUUUUUUUUUUGUGAACUAUCUCUUUAAUCUUGUGGUUGCACUAAAGUCAACAUUCUUUUUAAUUAAAGUGUUAAAUUGUCACCUGCCAAAGUUUUUGUCAAAAUUAAGCUAACAUUGAUUUUUGUUUCAUGGUCAGCUAUUCAGUUUCUUGUCAAAAGACUGUUAGUAUUAUUGGUUUAUUCAUCAGUCAUGAUUUGUAAUCCAUAUUGUUACAUUAAUGAAAAAUGUUUAGAAUUUAGGGGUGCCAGAAUGGCAUUGUUUGGUACAUUGUAGUGUCUGAAGAAAAUUGAUGAGCAAUAAAUAAUGUUUUGCCUAAGAUCUGUUGUUGCUUUUUGUCUUAACUUAUAUUUUUUAGUUCAGCUUACUUGAAAAUUUUAAGGCAAUCGGUUUCCUAAGAUUUUCCUAGUAAUGUGAACACUAGUAAUAAGUUAACCCAACUAAUGAUUUUGAGUUAACAGAACUUAACCAACAAGUUCUCUUUACUUAACUGAAUUAAGUUAUGACAACUAAAAAUUAAUACACUACUUUACUGGUUUAAUACACUACUAGCCUGGUUUCUCCCAAGGUUUUUUUCUCCAU
Molecule: long non-coding RNA, 4735 nt
Organism: Ctenopharyngodon idella (grass carp)
Lineage: Eukaryota; Metazoa; Chordata; Actinopteri; Cypriniformes; Xenocyprididae
Exons: 8
Source: RefSeq, a predicted model, not a curated record